GAUGAACGCUGGCGGCGUGCCUAAUACAUGCAAGUAGAACGCUGAAGGAAGGAGCUUGCUCUUUCCGGAUGAGUUGCGAACGGGUGAGUAACGCGUAGGUAACCUGCCUGGUAGCGGGGGAUAACUAUUGGAAACGAUAGCUAAUACCGCAUAACAGUAGAUGUUGCAUGACAACUAUUUGAAAGGGGCAAUUGCUCCACUACCAGAUGGACCUGCGUUGUAUUAGCUAGUUGGUGAGGUAACGGCUCACCAAGGCGACGAUACAUAGCCGACCUGAGAGGGUGAUCGGCCACACUGGGACUGAGACACGGCCCAGACUCCUACGGGAGGCAGCAGUAGGGAAUCUUCGGCAAUGGACGGAAGUCUGACCGAGCAACGCCGCGUGAGUGAAGAAGGUUUUCGGAUCGUAAAGCUCUGUUGUAAGAGAAGAACGAGUGUGAGAGUGGAAAGUGCACACUGUGACGGUAUCUUACCAGAAAGGGACGGCUAACUACGU
This 496-nucleotide ribosomal RNA is filed under the name uncultured bacterium. RNAcentral describes it as "partial 16S ribosomal RNA". It matches the Rfam family "Bacterial small subunit ribosomal RNA", at positions 28 to 506 of the family's 1533-position model. The record is from RNAcentral.